Molecule: unclassified non-coding RNA, 95 nt
Organism: Callithrix jacchus (white-tufted-ear marmoset)
Lineage: Eukaryota; Metazoa; Chordata; Mammalia; Primates; Cebidae
Rfam family: Metazoan signal recognition particle RNA
About the family: The signal recognition particle (SRP) is a universally conserved ribonucleoprotein. It is involved in the co-translational targeting of proteins to membranes.
Source: Ensembl
UUAAUAUGGUGACCUCCUGGGAGCAGGGGCCAACCAAGUUGCCUAAGGAGGGGUGAACCGGCCCAGGUCAGAAAUAGAGCAGGUCAAAACUCCCG